CACCGUCGAGUCAUCAAAGCCGUCAACUAAUUCAGAGGGGCUCGGCUGGCCCGGUCGCCCUACGCUACUGGCGCUUCCAAAGGCGAAGCUCUCGUCUUUGGCGACCAGCAAACUCUGGGCUAAAACCUGUAGUUUUGAAGCAAGGGAUGAGCGUGAAAGCCGUUGCGCUUCCGUACACGCGCAUACGUUUUCUUGCUCCGUCGCGCGUUAGUACAAUAACGCGCAGCCGUUUUCUUGCUGGGGCGGACACGGAUUUCUCUCUAAAGGCGAAGACUCAGAAGUGGGCGAACACUCAGCCCAGCGGGCGAACAUGCCGGCUCCGGCUCCGCGCACCUGCUGACACCUUUCGAAGCACUUUCACGUGUGAACCGAAGUCGUCUUGCCGAACUCCUUCCUUUCUCAUUUCAGUCCUCGCCUUUUUCAUCUUCCGUAGGGGCCUUUAGUCUUUUGAUUAGAGUAGAGGUCGCGAGAGAGCAGAGCGUACCGCCCUGCCAUAGUCGCGAGGAUCUUAAUAGUCGGUCGCGACUGUUGUCAUAGUCAACGACGGUUGAAACUUCUAGGUCA
Molecule: long non-coding RNA, 564 nt
Filed under: Oryza sativa (Asian cultivated rice)
Lineage: Eukaryota; Viridiplantae; Streptophyta; Magnoliopsida; Poales; Poaceae
Description: long non-coding RNA (OSAT_LNC001233)
Source: RNAcentral